AGGCACUACGGUGCUGAAGUAACAAAUGCCCUGCUUCCAGGAAAAGCCUCUAAGCAUCAGGUAACAUCAAAUCGUACCCCAAACCGACACAGGUGGUCAGGUAGAGAAUACCAAGGCGCUUGAGAGAACUCGGGUGAAGGAACUAGGCAAAAUGGUGCCGUAACUUCGGGAGAAGGCACGCUGGUGUGUAGGUGAAGUCCCUGCGGAUGGAGCUGAGACCAGUCGAAGAUACCAGCUGGCUGCAACUGUUUAUUAAAAACACAGCAC
This 267-nucleotide ribosomal RNA is filed under the name Klebsiella pneumoniae. RNAcentral describes it as "partial 23S ribosomal RNA". It matches the Rfam family "Bacterial large subunit ribosomal RNA", at positions 1572 to 1821 of the family's 2925-position model. Lineage: Bacteria; Pseudomonadati; Pseudomonadota; Gammaproteobacteria; Enterobacterales; Enterobacteriaceae. The record is from RNAcentral.